This 460-nucleotide ribosomal RNA is filed under the name uncultured bacterium. RNAcentral describes it as "partial 16S ribosomal RNA". It matches the Rfam family "Bacterial small subunit ribosomal RNA", at positions 338 to 795 of the family's 1533-position model. The record is from RNAcentral.
CCUACGGGAGGCAGCAGUGAGGAAUAUUGGUCAAUGGGCGGGAGCCUGAACCAGCCAAGUCGCGUGAGGGAAGACGGUCCUACGGAUUGUAAACCUCUUUUGCCGGGGAGCAACGGGGUCCUUGCGAGGGCCCAAUGAGAGUACCCGGAGAAAAAGCAUCGGCUAACUCCGUGCCAGCAGCCGCGGUAAUACGGAGGAUGCGAGCGUUAUCCGGAUUUAUUGGGUUUAAGGGGUGCGUAGGCGGGCUGUUAAGUCAGCGGUCAAAUGUCGGGGCUCAACCCCGGCCCGCCGUUGAAACUGGCAGUCUCGAGUUGGAGAGAAGUAUGCGGAAUGCGCGGUGUAGCGGUGAAAUGCAUAGAUAUCGCGCAGAACUCCGAUUGCGAAGGCAGCAUGCCGGCUCCACACUGACGCUGAGGCACGAAAGCGUGGGUAUCGAACAGGAUUAGAUACCCUUGUAGUC